Molecule: non-coding RNA, 16484 nt
Organism: Rattus norvegicus (Norway rat)
Lineage: Eukaryota; Metazoa; Chordata; Mammalia; Rodentia; Muridae
Source: RefSeq, a predicted model, not a curated record
GUCUAAGAAAACAGCCAACACCAUGAGAGAAUCAUUCAAGUCAGGCUACUUCUGUUCCUUGAUUUUCUGGGUGUGUAGUGGGCUGUCUCUAAGAGGGCAUGUUUACACUUUGACACCAGGUAGAUAACUGUCUUCAAGUGGGUAAAUGAUCGUAAUAUGAGGGGCACUGCCAUUUUAGAGAGGUCACACUACAUUUAAGCAGAACAGAAAUCCCUUUUGGCAUUUCCACACUUUGUUUAUGGUCUGGCCAGCUUUGGUCUGUACACUUGGCUUCAGAAAUCAAACAAAAACACAAAAAUUACUGAAAAGGGCCAGCCCUAUGAAUCUUCAAAACCCAAAGCAAUUACUAUAAAUUCGCACUUGGUUUUCCAUGGCCUUUGGAAAUCUGACAUAGGGAAGCAAUUUAACAUCUGUUCUAGCCUGUGUGCAAUUGGUACCCUUCUGAGGAGAGAUAGUCAUGGCCAUACUGGUGAUAACCAAUCUGAAGUAUUUGGUUUGGGCUUAGUUUCACAGAGCGAAUCCAGGAUAGCUAAGUUCCCACAUGCAUGCUCUCUAACUGAAAACGAUGAAUAAAGCUUGUGUUUGUUUUACAGAAUUUCUAUUAAACUGUCAGCAGAAUGGAGACCAAUCUGCACUCUGUCACUUCUGUUGACAUUGAGAGGCACGAGAGGGGAAAGAAAUGAAACAGCAGGAAAAGGAGUGCUGGCCGAGAGGCACAGGCCUGGACUCUCAGCUACCUGGGAGGUUGAGACAGGAGAUUACAAACUCAAGGCUGCCUGGCUAUUCCGUGGGUCCAAGGAUAGCCUGGGCAAGUGAGUGAGAGCCUGUCUCAAGACGGUGGCUCCUUCCUGGUUAGCAGCCAUGCUGUGCCUUCAGAGAGGGACUAAGAGAUGGAGAAGGGAAGCAUGUCUGGUGGCGUUCAUUGGAAGCUCGGAAUGAAAGAAAGGACUGUGUGACAAAGUUCUUCUCUGGAGGGUGGCUUCAACUUGACCAUUGUCUAACCAGCCACGGGCCUCCCAAUUCCAGGAAAGGUAACUGUGUCCCCACCUUCAUCUCCUUUCUUCUUAGCUCUGUCACUGAUUGUUCAAAGUAACUCACUUGUGGGCAUCUUGACAUUUAUUAAUUCUAGGCUAGCUCAUUUUGAAUAACCUUUCAUAUUAUAUAUUAUAAGCUUACUUUGUUACUGAACAGAAAAUAAACUCUCUGGAAUUUCAGGUUUUGUAUUCGUUAAGAUUUCUAAAUGAAUUGACAUGUUAGAAUUUUAUCAAGACUUUUAAAGAAAGCACUUUUUCUUUUUCUUUCUUUCCACGUGCUUUCUGCCGUUCAAAUUGAUGUAAAAUUUCAAGACAAUACUGAACAAGGCCUCCCCACCCCUGUUUCCCAUUUCCUAUCCCCGUCAGCACCCACAUAUCCAUCCUGGGAACCUGAGGGUCCAAGGGACUCUUUCACACUGUUGGCUUCGAACCCUCAGCUGACUGGACUGCCCAUGCGGGUUCUUCACACCUCCUGUUCCCACUCAGCUACCCACUGCGUUCCCCGAGUCUGCUACUCUCCGCUAAUACCCAUACAUCACUCUUGCAUGGGUUUUUAAGUGUCUUUGCUCAUUUGAAAAAAGUACAUUUAUCAAUUCUAGGCAAUUAUUUUCACACAGUAUUUGUAACAAGUGUUACAUGAACCAGAAUAGCAAUUUAUAAACUGGUGACUAUCCUCAACAAAUUCUGACUUCCAUAACCCCCUGCCCACUUGGUCAAUUCAUUAUAUUGCCUCUUCUUUCUUCCUCCUUAAUUCUUGCUUCCUAUCACAUGGUAAAUUAGAGAGAGAUUGCCUUGUGAGAGGGAUCUCCUUGGUGAGUAUGGAGUAGUUUCAAAGUCAUGAUGUUGUAGUUACUAUGUGCUAUGUCCACUCUGACUUGCAGUUUCCUGAUGAUGACAGCCAGGUCUGGGGCAAUUUAGUCAAAAGAGUGUUUAUGUAUAUGAAAUGGGCUAUACCUCUUAGUUUUUAUCUGUAGGUUCUUAGAUAAUGUUUUGAUCUUUAUCUAAAAAAUUUUAGGCUAAGCUCUAUAGGCAUGAAAUAAUGACCAGUUAGCCCCCUUAUCACUACAGCAUAAAUUAUGAAUGGGAUGAAAUAUUAAAACAUUUUAUGCUGUUCCAAGGAAUAUACAAUGUAUAAGUUUUUCCCACAAUGAGCUUUCUCAGAAUUUAGUUUGAGCACUGCCUCAGGUUAUUCUUAUUUUUUUUCAUUCGAAUACAUUUACUCAGCACCCACGAUUUUAGGCCUACUCCUGGGCCUGUGUAGGUUUUUGUCAUGAUCUCUGUUCUUAGAGAACUCCCAUUUCAUUCAGAGAAGGUGGAGUUAAAAUAAGGAAUAGAGGGUUAAGUAAGAUUACUUUAGACAUCGAGGACACACACACACACACACACACACACACACACUCACUCACACACACAUUAAUAGGAAGUAAUAUUAGGGGGUUAUGUUGGUCAGGACCCCAGGAAGCAAGCAUCUUGCAUGCCACAGUGGCAGGAGAGGGUUUUAAUCAAGAUGCCAUGGAAGACCAAGAGGGUUUUGUCUUGAAAAAAAAAUGGCAGGUUGGUUGGGAGCUGAUGGUGGAAAUGCCACAGAGUCAGAAUCAUGGGAUUAAACUGUGUUGAGCAUAGAUGGGACCUGCCAACACAGAGAUAUUCGCACCGAACAAUGGAUGAUGGCCACGCUGCCCUGAGUGUUUCUUCAGCUGUACAGGAGGACUCGGUGAGCUUCCUACUCAUCCCUGAGCAACAGAAACACAUUCCUCCAUGUGUUCCUGACCACUGCUUGUUUAAAAAAAAAGGAAAAAGGAAAAUAAGAGUUGUCCAGUGGGAUGACUUUUAUUAUGUUGAUGUAUAUGAAUUGAUGUACAUGAUAUAUCUGAAGUACACACACAUACACCCCACACAGACACACACACUCACACACACACACUCACACACACACACACACACACACACACACACAUACACACACUUUUACAGUGAAGCUCCAGACUGGGGUGUCCUCCCUUAGACAGGCAUAUGCCAGACUUACGGCCCACGUCCCCAAGCCCUACCUGUUCUUGUUCUCUAGCUCUGCGAUCAGCUGCCUUUGCUGUUUAUUUGCAUCGAUGGUGAAGGAGACGUCAGGGGCGCUCCUCUGCUGCGUGGGCUGCUGUAAAACAUGGAGUUGACAUUGCUUACUACUUGGAAUGUGAACUCACAUGUGAGAUGGGCAUCAUGGGAUAUGCAGACAAGGGAGGAGAGACUAUUCCAUGGUUGGGGGCAAGAACAGAAAAUUAAGUUGCUAUUCUAAGAGCAAGCUAUUCUACAGAUCUCAAAUAUACCUACACAGUGGAAGCCAAACCCUCCAUUUCUCAGGUUCUCUGAUACAGAAAUGAGAUUGGGUAAAGGAAAGUAUAUGGGGCUUCAGUUGGGAAUAUCACACUAGUGUAGAGCCUUUGUUCUUCUGUCCACCAUAUUUUUAAAGCUGGGCACACAUUACCAAGAUACCAUAAUCAUAGCACCAAAGACACCAACAAUAAAAAAACCCCACCAAUUUUCUUAUUAAUUAGCACCAGGCAUAAUGAUCACAAUAGACUAGGGCCAUUUGAAGUUAAAGGAUCCCGGAGGCCAACAAGUGCGUCCUUUUGUUCUACUUACGGAUGAGGAGGAUUCUGCCGCCAGUCGCGCGGCGUACCUGGCGAUCAGCCUGUGUUCUUCAUCAAGCCGGUUUGAACUCUCAAGCAUACUGUAGAAAAAAAGGCAAACAGGAUUCUGUCAGGGCACUGAGAGAGACUGAUGUUUUCCUAUCACCAUUAGGGACUUUGGGCUUUUCGAUGCCAAAUAUUUCUAAGCUCUUCAAAUGUCUCUUAGAUUAAUGAUCUUCAACUUGGGUUCGUGACAGGAUCUGAAGUGUGGCUGGGAAGGUCAAUAAUAAGUCCUUGAUAAGCCACUUCAAUUAUUUUAUUAAGAAGACUUUGAUGAGAAGUGACAUGACUUUUGUGAUGUUUUAGAUAUAAAAGAUAUUUUCUCUUUAAUUUAAUUGCUUUUAAUGUUUUUAUUUCAUUUCAUAAAUUAUGCAUGUCAAAAAGUGACAUUAGAAAAUAUGGAAACAGGCAGGAAGAGCAAAGACCCCACUGUAUUGUUGUUGAUCCAAUGACUCCUGUCUCCUGGCACUCACAUCCUCCUGUAAUUUCCCUUUCCUAUAAUCUGCACAUACUGACUUUUGUUUAAUGAACAGAAUAUGGCACAAGAAUGGGAUGUCAUUUCUAACACAUGACUUUAAAAGACUGUGACUUCCAUCGUGGGUGUUCUAUUUCUUGCAUGUUCUAUUCUCUUAUGUACUUGUCCUGAGGGAAUCUGGAUCUCAUGUCCUAUAUCUGCUUGUAUGAUGAGGGCCCAAACCAACCAGGAACCAAGGGAAUGAAUCCCUAUUCGUUGAGGCUGUUCUUGAUCCCAGAGCAAGAGAGGACAGCUGGACCAUUACCCAACAAACAUCCUUGAGUCAAAAGCAUCUUGCUAAGCAAUGCCCAGAUUCCUUCAUCAAACUGUGAGAUGAUGUUUGUUGCGCUAAUCUCCAGGGUAAUAUGCUACUCUGGAAGGGAAGGAUUAUAUGGCUGUGAAUAAGCCACUUCCCAGGCAAUCCAAUGGCGGUGAUGGAAAAUAUUUAGUGGCUCUUAUCAAUUUAAAGAAAAUGCUCACACUAGAAUAAGGCUGACCGUGUCCCUGAAAACCAGGCGAAGUAGGAGUAGUAUGAGCCCUCUCACAUUCCAGAAAAUGUCAUCUUCGGAAACUCUUCCCUAAAGGCUACGCUUUGGGUGACACUGAGAAAAGUUCAAUGAGACUUAACAAUAACACCAAUCUUGUUAACAGACUAAUGUUGACUUGUUUCUACCCAUUAUUGUGAUGGGUAGAAGGUCAGACUCAAGCUCAGAAAUUGGCUAUCAUUCCUAAGCAUACUUAUGUCAUUGUUAGCUGGCCCUUCUACUUUUAUUCUUAAAAUAAAAAUAGGAAGGGCCGGCGAGACUGGUCGGCUGUUAAGAGCACGGGCUACUCUUAGGAGAUUAUUCUCAAGGGUACUCAGUUCUCAGCACCUACACGGUAUCUAUAACUAACUCCAGUUCCAGGGGCUUUGACACCCUCUUAUGGCCUCUGGAAACAGGCAUAUGUGGUACAGAAACAUACAUGGAGACAAAACACUCAUAUGCAAAGAAUAAAUAAAUAAAAAUUAGCUAAUAAUGAUACCCAUGAUUGCUCAUACACGCCUAUGCCAGCACCACCAAUGGUUUUCCACUGUGAAGACUCAGACUCAUAAAGUAAUGCACAAUGAUUCUACAUGAACAUUUACAUAUAAAGGUAAUAUGCAAAAUUAUCUCAAACCUUAUUUUGAAGUGAGAAGAUGAGCGAUCUCUUCGUGUAAACUAAGCUAGGAGCUCAUCCUUGUUUAGUUGUGAGUUUAUCGUUGUAACAAUUUUGCCAGGGCAUCUGGAACAUCCUCCAUGGCUUUUACCUCUGUUUUACCUACAUCCCUCCCAGCUGCUAACCCUACCAGUUUUAACCUUGAGCAGUGCCAUUGUAGACUUAGCCAUUUUCUGUGGACUACAGCAAACAAACAUUCCUGAAUUCCCCAAUUUACCAACCCACCUCUAGCCACAGACAAGUCUUUUCCUUCAGAUUGUAGAACUGAGGUAACAGAUGCAGUCAAUGUCUGGUCCACUGCCUGGGAUACACCAUGUGCUAAGUAUUCGCUGCUAUAUUAUUUUGUCUCUUGACCACUUUGUGAGUCACAUGAAUGAUUCUUGCCUCUUUACAAACUCGCCGCUGUCUGAAACACCCAGAGCAGUCCGUCUCAAACUUUAACCUCUAAACGUGCUAUUCGGGGGUGUGAAACUUUUGUCUCUGAACUCUAGUGACAUUGGUGGGACUGGCUGAGGUUUGAGGGAGUAACCUGAGAAUCUGAAUUUCUGAUGAGGUUUCAGAAGAUUAUAGUCCUGAUCUGUAAGGAUCCCUUAGCAGAACAUUCUAGAAGAUCUAAACAUUUAAAUAAGACACCUGCGUACGAGAAAUAAGGACCAUAUAAAAUGUACAUUUUGUGAGUAUUUAACUGAUAUUAACAUAACUGUUGGAUAUUUUACAGACGUUUUCCUGAGGUAAGAGAAUUCUAGAAUGCAGAACUUACAUUCUAUUUAAUAUCAAUCCCAAAGUCGACUCGACACAAUUUAAACAUAGCGAGGAGGAAUUACUUGUGUACGGUUGGUGCUUGGCUGUAUGUGUAUAUCUUUAUGAAGGACUGUCUGCCGUAUACAGGGCUUGAGAUAGCCACAUUUCUUAUUAUAACUUCAGGAGGAAGGGGAAGUUAUACUGCUUUUGCUUUAGACAAAUGACUAACCUAUUAGGAGACCAUUUAGUUGGAUUUGAACACGUCUAUCAUUUCUGGUCGCUGUGUUAGAGAAUAACUACCCGAUCCUACAUAGUUUGUGCAGAUUAAAAUACCCAGUGGUCCGGGCUCAUUAGUGCUUGAAAGUGACUUUGUCAUGGACACUUGUGAGUGCGUUGAUAGAUACGCAAUAAAAAAAAAAAACCUUGAUAAAAAACUCCAUGGUAAAAGUAUUUUUUAUUAUGAAUGACCUGCAGGCAAAUAAAGUAUGAAGGUUAUAUAAAAUGCCUCCUGGCAAUGCAAGCCACAAGGAUAUGAGAUGCUGUCUCAUAAGUGAUAACUCACACCCCAUGCCUUUCGUCCCCCAGCGUGGCGUGAAUGCACACUGCGGUGACACAUUACUGCAUACAAGUGAUUUAUGAGCCUGCACGAGCCUUUCAGGAUGUUCAAAUUACUCACAGGUGAAUGGGACAUUCCUCUGAUAAAUUCCAUUAUUUCAAGAUCUCAACUCUACACAGUUGAAAAUAAAUGGCCAAUAACCUGUAAAUCAUUAAAAUAAAUACCAGGCCCGGGACUAUCUCCAGUGCUAACUGUUUGUUUGAGGACUUGACGAUCAGUGACCUAUAAGAUGACGACGUGUUAAAGGUAACUGCCGUUCCGUUGGCUGCUUUUGGAAUGAAGGGAUGUUGUAUUGAAAGCUCUUAAGGGUUUGCCUUAAAGGCAUGGCCAGGGUCCUUUACAAGGGACUUCAAAUGGCAUUCUUGGGAUUUUAGGUGACACCCCGUCAGGCAGGGCUAGGCAAAUUGAGGUUUUGCAAAGAUUUCUGGGAACUCAGGUCUGUUCCAUUUAUUUUUUGAUUCUUUUGGGCAUAGGUAGGCCUGAUUUGACUUCUAGGGUGGGGUUGUUAGAGAAAACCAUGAUGUAAUUCAUAAGGCAAUAGAAACACUUCUGUGUUCUCUUUGAAUAGCUUCUCUUUUUUAUUUAUUCGGAUAAAGACACUACAGAUUAAUUUUAAGGUUAUUAAGUCUGAUACAUCAUUCUAUUGACAUUAAGUAGCUAAUACAGUGGUUCUCAACCUUCUAACUGUGACCUUUAACACAGUUCCUUGUGCUGUGGUGACCCCCCAACCAUUGCUAUGUCAUAAUUGUAAUUUUGCUACUUCUAUUAAUUGUAAUGUAAAUAUCUGUGUUUUUAUGGUGCUCUUAGGCAACCUCCAUAAGGGUCAUUAAACCCCCAAAGGGGUUGCAAUCCACAGGUUGAAAACUGCUGAGCUAAUGAGAAGCUCACUCAAGAAGGUAUUAUUUGUUAACUCCUAAAUAGAAGAUGAAAAAAGGUGUGUGUGUGUCUGUGUGUGCAUGCAUAUGUGUAUGCGAGCAUGUGUGUGUAUGCAUGUGUACACUUGUGUGUGUGCAUUUGUAUGUCUUAUGUGUCUGUGUGUGCAUGUAUAUUUAUGGAUGUGUUUGGUGUGUGUAUCUGUGUGUGUAUAUGCAUAUGUCUCUGUGUUUGUUUUCAUACAUGGCAUUGCACACAUGUGGAGAUCACAAAACAAUUUGUGGAAAUCAGGUCUCUCCUUCUACCAUGCGUGUUCCUGGGGUCAAACUCAGGCCAUGGAGCCUGGUGAUAAGAACUUUACCUAAUGAACCAUCUGAGCAGCCUGGAAGGUUAUGUUUUUUAUUUUAUCAGAGUGUAUUCUAUAUUUUUCAGGUGGCUGAGGACAAAAUGUUAUGGAUCACCAAUACUGUCUAAAAAAUUGGAAGGCAGUGAGCGUAAGAGAGUUGAGGUUGAAAAGGAUGACGUAAUCCUAGGGCCUGAUGUUUUUAUGUGACUAAAAUGUGGAGAGGGAAAGAGGUAAGUCUUACAGUUGACCAUCAGGACUCUUAAAUGAGUGGUCUGCAAGGAAAAGGCAUGAAGAAAUACUAUCAUUAGAUCACAACAAUAUAAACUUGUUACUGUGGCUUCUCGGAAGAAAGCCUUCAAACUCCUUUAUUAAGCCCUUCACUUUACAACCUGAUAAAAGUUAAAAUAAAAGUUAUGCAUUCAUUCAAGCUCUGGCCUACACAAUAAAAGCACAGACACAUAGGGUAAAUGAAUUCAGGGUCGAAGUAUGUUGCAUCUUCUUCUGAUGUUAUUUAUCAUAGCCCCAGUACCCCACUAACUUUAGACUGUGACUGUCUGUAGAGAAGGCCUUUCAAUGGAUAAAGCUACAUGAAAUUGUAAGCCAUCGGUGCUAAUUCAACAUGACUGGUGCCCUUUAAGAAGAGGUUCCCAUUAUAUAAGGUACUGUGGUACUUUAUGACUUUAUUUUAUUGUUGUCUUUUUCUUGAGACAAGGUUUCAUGUGGCCUAGAAUGGCCUGAAAAUCACUGAUUGGUUAAGUAUGACAUCGAACCUCAUAUGCUUCUGCCUCUACCUCUGGCAGCAUUAGGAGUUCAAGCCUAUACCCCCAUGGCUAGUUUAUGUGGUAUUGGAGAUCAAACCUGGUGAUGCAUGCACAGCAGGCAAGCAUUCUACCAACUGAGUGACACCCCCAGCCCUGGGGGACAGUUCUGAAUAAGUUGUAUUACAAAUCCACUAAGCAAUAAAUCUACUAGCAAUAUGAUAUACAAUUUCUUGUACUCAAGGACAAGAACAGACCAGUUCUAACCUAGUUACAGGAGAUCAAGAAUCUAAUCAAGAGACAGCAACUGAUUGUGAUCUCGAAUUGCAGUCUAUAGCCUUUAGCUACUUCCCCUUUCUCCCUUAUGGAGUUUUGAGAACCAUACUGGACCAUUGGAACAGCACAAGUAUAGAUAUAAUGUAGAUCUGUUUUCAAUCUUUUGUUCUGCCUGCCAGAGAUAUUUCCCACAAAUCGCCGGUAAGCCCAGGUAGACUGUAAGCUUUCGAGAGGGAAGCAAGUCCAAGAUCUCCAUGUGCUUCCUUGAGAAACCCCCUCCUCCCUCAUUGGAGAAGGGCCUUACAAACCAGACAGUGCUAAAAGCCACUCAGAAAUGAUUCCACAUUUUCAGCAGGCCGACAUUUACUUGUUUGGCUUAGCUUAUAUUAGAACCACCAGCAGUGUAAGUGUUUCUUCAACUUGGAUGCAAGGAAUUUAGACCUGAGCCAGUUUCCCAUGGUGUUAAGUAAUUACUGUAGAGUAUCUCACAUCUCAUAAGAAAUGAGAAUGAGAAGAGAAUGUGCUUUUGUGUGCAAGCCCUCACCAGUGCUCAACCCUGGGUCACUCCUUACAGCUUGCCCACAUUUCCUCAUUAGUAAAAGGGAAGUAAGAAUAUUUAGCCUUGCAAAGAAGCAAGGUAAGUAGUGUAGUACUGCAAACAGAUGUAUAAUUUUUGAAGCAUUUUACAAAUUUGUGACUUAUUAUUCUGGCUAUUUUGUCCAUAAAAGAGAUCAAAGAGAGAAUCCUUGCUAUUUUAAAUCUUAAAAUAAAAAUAAAAUAAAAUAAAAACUCAUGGUAAUAAUUCAUAAACGGUAACAUGCUCACAGCUACUAUGCUUAUUGAUAAUGUGCUCAUGAUAUUUCUUAAAAGGAAAUAAAAAUAGUAUAGUAAGAAAUGCAGAUUUAGUGAGUAGACAUGUGGAGCCUGUCAGCCAGACAGAAGUACUGUCCGUGACAGCUGUCUGUAGGACACGUGUUGGCAGAGGUUUAACAAGAAGCGAUGCAGCAUAGAGGCUAUAAGUUGGGAUAGACCAUCUUCAAAAUCUCCAUUCACUAUUUAGCCAGCAGCUGUGUAACUGGGGGUGGGGCUUCAGGUAAACUCCCUAAAAUGGUAUUAUUUUAAGUGGGAAUGAGCAUCUUCACUCUGUGGACCUGUUCUGAGAUUGGAAGUCGUGCAAAUAACAUUUGUCAGCAGAGACGUUAUCGAGAGGCGAGUGCCAGUUACCUGUUACUACUACACUAUUAUUUAUGUCAUACAUCACCAUUACCUUUCGCCAUAACUGGUGGUAAAGGCUUCUAGCUGCACUGGUGCUAAUACAUGUUAAUACACAUGUCUAGUGACUUCUGACUAGACACAAAGGAAAGGGAGGAAGAUUGGAGAGACCUGAAAAUGUUGGAGCUUCGUUGGCAAGGACACAAAUAAACCAAGAGUAACACGGAGGUGGUGGUUCUGAGUCCAGUCAUCCGUCACUCUGAGGUCCGCUUUGCUUUGUGGUGCAAACCCUUACUGUCUCUUGCCAAGCAGAUGUCAGAUGUAUUUGUGGGGCAGCUUUUAUGGUCCAAAGUGACCGUCAAGUCAGUGUGAUUAGUGACUGAAGUAGGAAAAAUGACAAGAAGUAAGAAAGCCUGAGCUUUUCUCUUUGGACAUUUCUGCUGCAACCUUCACAAAGAACAGGACAAAGUCGUGCAGUGAAAGUGCUCUGGGCAUGCUUAGAGCUGUUCAGGAGAGGACGGGGUGAGAACACCGUGGCUGACUUCUUAUUGGCUCCAUACUGACUGCAUUUUAAGAUGACUGAUAAGAUGUUUUUAAAUAAGUAAUUCAGUACUAAGCUUCAAUCUUCUAGUCACUGUGUAACAAUGGGAGAGCACAUUUAUUGUAAAUAAGAUUAAAGUAAUAAGUAGUUCUGAGAGGCUGAGGUUAGGAGAAAGCAGACACUGCUGAAUUUGGAAGUUCAGGAAAUGUGAGCAAGAUUGAAGUUUUGACUGCUCAAGGAGUAAAACAUAGGACGAAAUUAAACCAGUGUGACAGCUGCACAUUAAAAAUGCAUAUUAAUGUGUUUAUUUUUAUACAUAUUAAGACGAAUAAUUCAUCAAUUAUAAAAUUCUCCCAUGUAUCAAUUCUGCAAAAACCAUCUAAGGUAUUAGAAAUAGUAAUAGGGAUGAAGUUUGCAAACAAUCAUAGGAGGAGAAUGUUCUAGAAACAGAGUUCAGCAACAGAGGGGCAAGAGCCAAAGCACAGAUAUGUGUAUGCUCUGUGAUGAGGGAUGCUAUAAGGAUUUUAGAAUUAAUAAAAAGAAUUUGGACAGUAUAUGAUAUUGUGUGUUGUGGCCACAUUCACUCUCCACUGUCUAUUCCCUUUCCCCCCUGCUCUUCACGACCCCCUCCUUCCCAUCGAGUUCCCUACCUAAAAUGGCUGUUUGACUAUCAGCUUGACUACAUUAAGAAAUAUCCAGGGGAGUGGAGAACACUUGGGGAUGCUCGUUAUGAUAUUUUAACUAAAUUCUAGACACUUUGAAACAACAGAUAGAUUGAUCCUUGGAUGGAUUCAUAAAAUGUCAUUCUUGGGAAGUGAGGGAAAGCAGGAGAUGGUGCCUGGUUGGAGGGAGUAGGCAGCUCAGAAGGUCCAUAGAAGCUUUAUCUUACCCUGACCCCUUCCUGUAUCCCCAUUUGUCUACAUGAUGCUGCUGUGAAAUGACUCUUGACCACAUGCUUUUGCCACCCUGAUAUUCUGCUUCACGAUUGGUCCAGAGACAUAGAACCACAUGAGCAUGGACUACAUUCUCUGAAACCAUGAGCCAAAAUAAAUUAUUGUUUUGGGCAGGUAUUUGGUGACAGUGAUAAAAGAGGUACUAAAACAGAUGCUUUGCAAUAAAGAAGAGGCAAGGAGCCUGCUACGCUGAAGGUUAAACCACAUUAAUGAGAACUGAGCCCAUGGCCUCCCUUAAUGUUUAUAACAUCACAAAAAUCAUGGGUCCUCAGUUUAGAGACAAUUAGAGAUUCUAAGUGAAAUUAAAUUGUUGGCAAAGAAUUGGUCUGAUAAAUAUGUUUGUGCAAUGGUAGCCCAAACUGACCAUUCAUACAGUGAAAAUAUAGCCUGUUUUUACUCUUAUUCAAAUUUUAAUUGAAUAUUUAUUAUUAAAGUGAAAUAACUUUAAUCAAUCUCCCAUGCUACAAUAAAAUAGAGAAAAACUUUGCAACUGUUUAUAAUCUUAAUGCUAGAGAUAUAAAAAUACUGGGUCUAUCUAAACAUCAGCUUUCGAUCUUCUGGGACAUGAAGGCAGGUUUCAUCAGGAUGGCUGUCCCAAUACGUUUGUCAGUGAGAGCAUCACUGAAAGACAAUUUCUCCAAUGCUGCCCUUAUCCAAUGAUUUACGCUUUAUGCUCACAUAACUUUCUCUAUGUUUUGCUUCUAUCUGAAAUGAGCAAAGCAUUGCUUCUCAGAGCGGUGGAGACCCCCACACCCUGGAAACAAGAGCUAUCUCCCUCUUGUAGGAACACGACGCUUGGAAUAGAACCUUCCGACAGGCUCCCGAUUUCUCCGAUUACUAGACGGUAACAGUUGUUAUAGCAGUUUUCACUUUAGCCAAGACAAAGCUAGGACGAGAACUCCGUGAUACAGUGGUGCGAAGUAUCCAGGACAACGUUAGAAAAGAUUUGGUUACCUGACCUAGAAGAAAAGUUCCCCUUUUCUUCUAGUUCCUGGUUCCCCUUUGCCUUGCAGUCCCAGAGCUGCUGGUUAAGACUGCUGGUCAGUAACCCAGGCUGCUCCCCUCCAUAGGGACAGGCUAGCACUCAAGCCUACCCAUGAUGCACUAACCAUGACGGGUUGUUCCGGAGCAUGUUGACAUACAACCCAAUGAGAACAUGUUCGUCAGCUAGCCUGUCUGCCACGUUCAAGCUGUAAUGUAUCCUAAAACAGGGUAGAGGGAAAGAGGAAUUGAGAGAGGUGGAUGGAAACACGCAGACAAAGGAGGAAUGAGUUUGUGAUAGGAAAAGCACGCAGAAAAUUAAGCAAGUAAAGGGAGAUUGGAUGUGAUGUUCUAUGAAAAACCCAAGCAAAACCCAGGCAAGGAAGUCCACAACUUCAAUCUACUAGCUUACAAAACAUUAAGUAUUUUGUUUUUUAGUAAAAAGAUUUGCCUUCUUUGACCACAAACACGAAGGAACUUUUCUGCAUGGAAAACAUAACACACAAAGUAUCACAACAAAGAUUAAGUAUCUUCUGGAUAGUUGGGUUAUAAAAUUAAAUUAUAUAAAUUAUAAAAUUAAAAUAAAAGAAAAAUGGAACAAGAGAAAGUAAUCACACAACUGUGUCCACGUAGAAUAAAGACUUGAUGUUGUUAGUAAGUUAUAAGACGGCUGCUAUCUAGGUCAAACGGUCUUUCACAUGCAAACCACUGACAACAAGAGAAACUCCAUCUUUAGUCAGUUAGUUCUGGAACCCAGCACACUCUGGCUUGGACUUACCCUUUACCCUUCAGAAAGGCUGGAGCAGCCCUAGCCAGGAUUUUGUUCUGUUCUACUUCACUGUCCUUGGGAGGAGAGCUAGUUAAUAAGAUGGGAAAGCCAAGAAGAGCGUAAACACAGCGACACAUCAAGAAUAGAAGCCAGCAUCACAGACUCCUUAGUCUAGAUCCACACUCCGUGUGGACAGAUGGCUUAGGACUUUGAAAUGAUCAGGAUAGCUGCAGAUUUCCAUAGAGGUUAUCUAAGAGAAGAAACCUAUCUGGGAACCAUAACAGCUACCAUGAAUUCAGAGUUGACCUCUGGUAUUUGCUUAACAAGGAACACGUAUUUUUCAUGGCUAGACAUCAGGAGAACCCAUCUAACAUUUACUUCAGGGUAGGAUGGGAACAUCUCAAUAGUUCAUAAAGUCCUACCAACAUUUAGAUGCCUUUUAAGAAGUUUGCUUCUAGGAAGGAGAGCUAGCUCAGCUGUUUAAAGCAUGUCCAUCUCUUUCAGAGGACCCAGGUUUGGUUCCCAACACCCACAUCAGGUUCCCACCACAGCCAUCUGUGAUGUUAACUCUGGGGGAUCUGACUUCUCUUGCCUCUCUGGGCAUCAGGUGAUCAUGUUCAUACAUGGGCACACACCCCUACACAUAGUUUAAAAAGAAGUUUGAUUUUUCUACGCUCCCCGAAUUCUUCAGUGAUCUUUUGAAUACAAACUCGAGUAUUACCUAAAGAUGGCAGCCAUAUCAGGUAUGUUUCACUGUUCUCAAUGAUGUAAGUUACCUGCUCUUGGCUAUGAAGCUACAAAGAAAAGUUUCAGAUGAAAUAUAGUUCAAAGAAAUGCUGACAUUUCUUACAUGAAUAUUAAUAGAUAUCUAAUGGGUAGAUUAAAUAAUUUGGCAUUUUACAUUUAUUAAAAGGAAAAUUUUUGCUUCCUUUAAAUGACAGUUUUUAAGGUUUUAGUAUCUCUUUUAAAGCCAACACUUUGUCGUGGCUAAGUUCCCACAUUUGUGGAAAAAAAAUAAAUUAAGCCCUCUGAUUGUAUUUACAAGAUUAAUUUCUGACUGUGUUUAAAAGGUUCGUGUUUGUUUUUUUUUUUUUUUUGUAUUUUUUGUGGGCACUUUGCCUGUACCUCUGUCUAUGUACCACAUUUAUGCAUCAGGCCACAACUGAAGUUACAAGUAACCGUGAGUGAGCCACCUUGUGGGUGCUUAGAACCAAAGCCCAGUCCUCUGCAAGGACAACAAAUACUUUUAACUACUGACCCUUCGCUCUGGCCAAAUGUUUAACAGUUGAGAUCUAAACUAUGAGGCAUCAAGAUUUCUUCUCCUGCCUCAUAGUUCUAAGUCACGUCUACACCAUAUAUAUCAUAGGCAUAUUUCAAUACCAGGUAUUCCAAAAAAAAAAAAACCCUAAAGUCAUGGAGAAAUGUACAGAUGUUAGGUUGUAUCACAAAUUAAGAGUCUCGCAGAUAAUCAUGUUUGCCAAAUUUAUGAUACUUUCACUCAGACUGUUAGGAAGACAUCAUCAUAUUAAAUGUUGUGUUUAGAAAGGACAAAUAUAUAUAAAAUUGACCUUAAGAAUAAACCAGAGAAGGGGGCAGAAUGUGAUGUUUAAUGUACAUUGUGGAAUGAUCAAAUCAAGCUAAUUAGCAUGGUCAUCGUUUCACAAUGUUAUUUUGUGUGCCUGUAAUAUUUAGAAUCUACUGCUCCAGCAACAUCAAAGUAUGCGGUGGAUUAUUAUUGAUUGCUACCAUGCCUACAACAGAUCACCGUGACUUUAAAACUGAUACAUUAGAUUAAUGUUCUAGGAGGACCUGGUUUCCCUAUGGUCUUGAUGGUAUUUUUCAAGAUGUUGACCUUUAUCCUCUGAAAUGGGAGUUUCACAUCAAGGCCAAUAAUCACUUUGACUCUGUAGCUGGUGUUUGCUGUAAGGUUCUAUUAUUCCACUAAAACAUCUCUCUGAACCUUGUUCCCUGAAGUAAUUCCCCUUAUAUUCCUUCUCAGAUAAUCGCAGUUUUCUUCCUUCUCAGUGUUUCUCCAACCCUUUCCUCUAGUUGAAGGCAGAUCUGUUACAAAAUUGAUCUCAGAGGUCUACAAAGCCACUCACCGCACUGAGAGAAGUCAGCAAGUCUUCCUUCACACAAAAUGAGUUCCCUGCCUGCUAACAUUUCCUUGUUCUUUGACUAUCAGAUUUUAUAGCAUUAUCUUCUUAAACUAAGGAACCAGCAGACUAGUUAAAUUAUUCAGAUAUAUCUUCUGAUGUUGAAUGUAAGAUUAAAAGCAAAGACCCAGUAGAGACAACUAGCGGGUUUUGGAGGAUCAAACACUUUUUAAAAUAUUUCACAUAUAGUUUAAACUCUUCCGUUAGUUUGGAAGGUCGACAGCCAGUGCCAUGAUUGUUGCUUAACAAGAGCAUUUCUGAGGCAUCUUGAAGUGGGAUUCAACACAAAUACGUGUUGGGUUUGCUGAAACUUGAAAUUUGUGUUUUAAACCAACUCUGUGUAUGUUAGAAUACCCUAUUAAGUCCUGAUCAAGGAAAUUUGUUUCUCUCUUAUUGAACAUAGUGUCAAAGGAUUAUAUUUGAUCCUGUGGAAUAUGAAAUAUAUAAUAUCAUAGUGGCUAAAGUGAAAACAAUAUUUUAAACCAUUGCAGACAUUUUAAAGAGCACGAAACUAAUUUUAUUAAUUCUUAACUAAGUGACAGACUGGCAAGAAUGCUUGUAAAGUGAACUCCUUUGUCAAGUGAUUUUCAACAGGGGACCUGCUUCUCGCUAAUUUAUUCAAUAGUGAUGGGGUCAUCAAGCUGACUGAAACUCAGUAAGAAGAGUCCUCUUUUCACUUUAGUUAAGAGACAGUUUUUUGAAACAUACUGUUUUUUUUUCUCUCUACAUUUUAACAGCUCAAAUUUGAAAUAUAAAAAUCUGGUAUAUGGAUAAAAAUUAUGCAUGAAAAUGGAUUAGCAUCUCAGCAGGAAGAUUAGUUACCCAUGGGGCUGGAG